This 907-nucleotide long non-coding RNA is filed under the name Panax ginseng (ginseng). RNAcentral's name for it is "long non-coding RNA (PGIN_LNC006655)". The record is from RNAcentral. Lineage: Eukaryota; Viridiplantae; Streptophyta; Magnoliopsida; Apiales; Araliaceae.
UGAGAUUCCCUUUGAAGUGAUGUUUGGCAAAGCACCUGGCCCUUUCUAUUGCCACUUACAUUCCAGAUACUACACAAUUAGAAGUUUUGGAUGUUUCCCUCCAAGAAAGAGAUACCAAACUGCAAAUCCUCAAAAGGACAUUGAACAUCACCCAAAUAAUAAAACCCUAACUUCAAUGUGUUUCUAUAGCUGAAAAGUUAACCACCAAGAGUUUGAGACAUAUAAAAUGAAUUGAAUAAAGAUUCAAAAAAAAACUCUGAACCGAGAAAAACACUAAAAGGCAUAACUCCUUAAAAUGUAUAGAAAAACAGCAAAUUAGUAAAUGAAAUUAAGUAUGUAGAACCUAAAAAACAAUGAAAAAUUACAACGGUUAUGUAAGAAAUUGGCAAAGUCUAACCCAAAAAUGGAUUACCUUGGCUACGUCAAGGGGGUUAACGAGUAUGGCAGAGAGAAAGGCGGCACCAGCAGCAGAAAAUGCUCUCUCCGGGACCCCUAAUUUUCCAGCAGACGUGGGAGGCGGAGAAUCAAAAUGAGAACGAGAAGCGACAAUUCCCUCUGACACCACCAUUGAUUCUGACAUUAGCGACACGCAGCGGCCGUCAAAUUCAACUCUCGAAGGUUGCUCUUCUGACUCCUCUCUGGUCAUCCACGAAUUUUGCAUUUGCUUUGAUUCUACUUCUACCAUAUUCUUUUGUUAUACCUCUCUUUCAGCCCAAAAUUUGAUCACCCUAAAAUUGCGCGUUUCCGAAUGUUAGCUUUGUUGCAUUCUCAAAUAAAAAAUCAUCAAAUAGACGAAAUUUUCAACAAAAAAUUUAAAAUUUUCCUCAAAUCGUAAAAUAGAGGGAUGAAGAAGAGUCUCUCUAAAUUAAUUUAGGGCUGAGGACUGCGGUUGGGAGACUAAAAAAAG